UGGGGAAUUUUUGGCAAUGGGGGAAACCCUGACCAAGCAACGCCGCGUGGGUGAUGAAGUAUCUUGGUACGUAAAACCCUUUCGGCAGGGACGAAGGAAGUGACGGUACCUGCGGAAGAAGCUCCGGCUAACUCCGUGCCAGCAGCCGCGGUAAUACGGGGGGAGCAAGCGUUGUUCGGAAUUACUGGGCGUAAAGGGCGCGCAGGCGGUUGGAUAAGAGAGUGGUGAAAACCCCGGGCUCAACCUGGGGCCGGCCACGCAGACUGUCCGGCUGGAGUGUGGGAGAGGGAAGUGGAAUUCCUGGUGUAGCGGUGAAAUGCGUAGAUAUCAGGAGGAACACCGGUGGCGAAGGCGGCUUCCUGGACCACAACUGACGCUGAGGCGCGAAAGCCAGGGGAGCAAACAGG
This 407-nucleotide ribosomal RNA is filed under the name Acidobacteriota bacterium. Its description in RNAcentral is "Acidobacteria bacterium partial 16S ribosomal RNA". It matches the Rfam family "Bacterial small subunit ribosomal RNA", at positions 355 to 776 of the family's 1533-position model. The record is from RNAcentral. Lineage: Bacteria; Pseudomonadati; Acidobacteriota.